This 270-nucleotide ribosomal RNA is filed under the name uncultured prokaryote. Its description in RNAcentral is "partial 16S ribosomal RNA". It matches the Rfam family "Bacterial small subunit ribosomal RNA", at positions 524 to 794 of the family's 1533-position model. The record is from RNAcentral.
UACGUAGGGGGCUAGCGUUAUCCGGAUUUACUGGGCGUAAAGGGUGCGUAGGCGGUCUUUCAAGUCAGGAGUGAAGGGCUACGGCUCAACCGUAGUAAGCUCUUGGAACUGUAAGACUUGAGUGCAGGAGAGGAGAGUGGAAUUCCUAGUGUAGCGGUGAAAUGCGUAGAUAUUAGGAGGAACACCAGUAGCGAAGGCGGCUCUCUGGACUGUAACUGACGCUGAGGCACGAAAGCGUGGGGAGCAAACAGGAUUAGAUACCCGCGUAGU